GGGCCUCCAUCAAGGAAGCUUGUCUGUAGCCCAAUAUGCGGCUGGAUUUGUUCUACUGUUUAGGUUUGUCCCUUUGAUGGUCACCCCCGAAAGCCGAAACAUUAGGAAGUUUCUCAAAAGCCUUCAUGCUGACAAUUAUGACCAGGUUGCAAUGCUGAGACACAUUUCAUAUGUAGAGGUGUUGGAACAUGCCCAGAUGACCAAAGAUCUUAUUUGGGUAAGCACCAAUGCUUUGCCAGAGUUC
This 244-nucleotide long non-coding RNA is filed under the name Carica papaya (papaya). Its description in RNAcentral is "long non-coding RNA (CPAP_LNC005318)". The record is from RNAcentral. Lineage: Eukaryota; Viridiplantae; Streptophyta; Magnoliopsida; Brassicales; Caricaceae.